UGUAUUUUUACCAACAAUACACAUUUAUAAAACUUGAACAGAUUUAAAAUUAUGAUUUUGUACUUGGUUUCUGCAGCAUUUUGCUUGAUUUAAAGCCUAGGCAAAUUUUACAUUGGUAUUUAUAUACACAAACCCCCACUUACUUACGUAGCAACUUAUGGUGGCUAUGUAUUGGCUUUAAUCUAAAUAAGUGGGGGUUUGUAAUUCUACAUUUCAUCAUCCUGUUGCACAUCUGUAUUAAAUGUCUAUGUACUUUCAGAUGUAUCUAAACUGUUACUGUUGUGAUGUAAAAUUUGCCUAGGCUUUGAGUUAAGCAUGAUGCAGAAACCAAGUACAAAAUCAUUGAAGACAAACACACUUUUUAAAAAUCUGAAUUUACAACUCGGUUAAAAAUACUGAAUCAAAUAUUUCAAUCAAAAUAGAAAAAUAUAUUAUCUUCUGGGUCAGGCCCCAGUGUACACCUUCUCGCCGCCAUAUCAAACACUGUAAAUUUAAACAUAGAACUGCUUACCUCUGUCUUUCAUUAUUAUGUUCAGUUCAUUUAUAAAAUUUGAACAGAUUUAAAUUAUGAUUUUGUUCUUGGUUUCUGCAGCAUUUUGCUUGAUUUAAAGCCUAGGCAAAUUUUACAUUGGUAUUUAUAUACACAAACCCCCACUUACUUACGUAGCAACUUAUGGUGGCUAUGUAUUGGCUUUAAUCUAAAUAAGUGGGGGUUUGUAAUUCUACAUUUCAUCAUCCUGAUGCACAUCUGUAUUAAAUGUCUAUGUAUUUAGUUUUUCAAUAAUGUAAUGAUCAUUAAAAUAUUCCACACAUGUUUCUGCCACAGACCGCCAUCCUCAGGUGUUCAGAUGUGUCUAAACUGUUACUGUUGUGUUGUAAAAUUUGCCUAGGCUUUGAGUUAAGCAUGAUGCAGAAACCAAGUACAAAAUCAUUGAAGACAAACACACUUUUUAAAAAUCUGAAUUUACAACUCGGUUACAAAUACUGAAUCAAAUAUUUUAAUCACAAUAGAAAAAUAUAUUAUCUUCUGGGUUAGGCCCCAGUGUACACCUUCUCGCCGCCGUAUCAAACACUGUCAAUUUACACAUAGAACUGCUUACCUCUGUCUUUCAUUAUUAUGUUCAGUUCAAUAUCGUACAGCCUGCUGCAAACGUCCUAUUGUACCGUCCUAGUCAAAGAUCACGAAGUUGGUUGGAUUAAUGUGUUUAUGUUUACAACCUGCUGGUCGUGGCAACACUGUUCGGUUUCGAUGUAUUUACACAAUCAUCGCACGAAACGGCCUCCUUGGCUUUAGACGAACACAGGUUUGGGGUGGAUACCGAAUUGGUUGGCUUUCAAAUUCCCGGCCCCGCCGACAUGUUCGCAGCUACUGCUGCCGCAUUUCCUGCAAGACUGCCGAAACAGUAUGGACACAACACUUGCAACACGACCGGCUUACAUUGUGGUGGGCACGGUGUCAUCGCCCUCACGUCACGCAGCAUAGCUUUGCACACUUUGGUGGAUUAGUUGAAGUAGUUUUAUGUAGUGAUGAUCCAAUGCCAGCCUCCCCCGGCGUUAAAUCUGCUUCCUCUGUUUCGCACUCCCCAAAAUUAAUCCGUCUCUUAGGGCACCUUGGCGAAGAAGUACUUGUUGCAUUCGAUCUGUGACGUCUUUGUCGUCUGCGUCGUCUGUGUCGUAGAACAUGGUCUCCAUGAGCGGGUGAUUUGUCACUCUGGGGAGAGGCAGGAAUUGUGUGAUAUGAGGGUGGAGGUUGAUUUUCUUUGUCAUCUUCAUAUGAUGGAAGGGAGGGCAGGAUAUUAUCUGCACAUCGUACACAGGACGCUGAAAGUUGGAGAUGAUUAACUCCGGACGACGCGUCUUCGGAGUGUGGUGUUGUAUACUGCGACGAUCCAGUGCCAGCCUCCUCCGGUGUUAAAUCUACAAGUCCAUUGUCGUCAUAGUUCUGUUCGCAUUCGUCUUGCUGCUGUUGAUCCUGCGGGGUCGUUGUUGUGGUUGAUGUGUAACCACCACGCUCUUGGGAUUGAACUAUGUUGUAUAGUUCCUCCCUGAAAAUGCAACGCGCCUUCUUCAGAACCGUAACAACCAUGAGAUGUUUAUGGAGGCUAAUACCGCCACGUUGUUCGCGAGAUUCCGCCAAUUUAGUCAGAGAAAUGUUCAUUAGUCUCUCCGCUUCCCAUGCCAUCACUAUUAGCGUACUUACUGAAGCGGCCGGAAUAUCAAAACGAUGAAAGAAACACUUUGUACACUUACUGUUGCAGUUACACCACUUAUACGAAUUUCACCACACAAGAACUUCUAGUAUUCCAACAGCAGUUACAACGCAGAUACUAACGAAGCAACCACAUUCGAGGCGCACGACGAACUGCCAGUAACCUCAACAGGUGGUAUGACGUAACAGGCAAAAUAACGCAAUACCACGUAAUACAUGUCAGCUGAUAUUGUCACGUGGACAGCUUGCGUCAUUACGCAAAUCUUUUCAGCUGAUGUUGCCACGUCGACCGCUUGCGUCGUUGCCAUGACAUAACGGCCUACUUAUCAACCAAACAGUGGACGUCCUCCUACGGGAUAGCGCCGGUUUUUCUUAAAAUAAGGUCGGAAAUCGUAAAGAUUGUCUCGUACCAGAUCAUGCAAAUAUAUGAAAAUUGCUUGAACAUUGUAAGCCAAUUAAAACCCUAUCGUACAUUUACUUAAAAAGUUAUUGAAAUUGCAAUUUUGGUAUUAGAAUUUUCAUAUUGGUCCACCUAACACAGGCUGUAAUUUAAAAGGAAAAUAUAUUUUCAUCAGUUGCAAAUGGUUUGUUAAAAGUCCUAUUUAAAUAAUCACAUGGCAUUUGUAACAAUGUGACAUCUAUACUUCACGCGAAGGAGCGUGUGAUCGAUUUCUUUGUGGACAAAACACGUUUCUACUGAGUAUAGGACAUUAAUAUCGAUGAUAUCGAUUAAUAUGUCACCAGAUGCUAGGACAUCAGCCCGGGUAGAUUAACUAGCACCUUCAUUUCCUUACAAUGAGUCAUGGAAUUCUGAAGUUGAUAUAUGUGUGUGCGUGUGAAUGCUAUAAAUGUACAAAAGAGGUUUUAUAGCUUCAUAUAUCUUAGGAGAAAAUUUUGAUCUUGUCAAUUCAGUAGGCAGUGUCUGUCAUAUUAUACAACCGUGUGGGAAGAUGGCUGGCAGUUGGUUGAAGUGGUAUGCACGUCCUGAAAAUAACGAGUAUAGGUAGGAUGUAUAUGAUGGUCACGAAUGUUCUGAAUGUCUAGAAUUAGAAAACAAUCUGCAACAUGCACUUUCUGAAUUAAGCUGAUUGCCGUUAAUAAAGAAACUCCUGUUAAAGAGUGGGAAGAGACUAACCCCAAACUUAAGAUUUUAUCUGGUGUAGCGGUGAAUGUGAAGUCGGACGAACAUCAAAAUAGUUGACUGACGACGGAAUGUGCAAAAGGUAUAGAAAUAGUGGAAAGAACAACGUAGCAAAAUGUGGUAGAGUCAGUACUGGAGAGAAACUGGGAAGGAAACAUGGAAGGCGGUUCCAUUGUGCUGCAUUCUACAGCAGAAUUCUGCCGUACGUUGGGUGACAUCACCACGUAUGGUCUGGCUGGCAACAGGGAUGAGUACACUCAGGAACUACUUGUGAGUGCAAUACAACCAUUUGCAGAUUUGAUACCUCUCUCAUGAAUUUCAUGGAAAGGUACCUGGCAAAAAUAAAGUGGAGAAACGAAUGAAGAAAACUGAACAGGAGGGAGGCAACCACCUCAAAACAAAACUUCAAAUUCUUCAUGAAAUAUGCUGGCACCAACUCUGAACUUUGGCAUGGACAUAUGUUUUUAUUGUUUCUUACUGUCUGGAAUAUCAUCUCUGUUUUUAAAUAAGACACAGCUUGCAGCUGCUGACAGUGCCUGUGUGUACUGGAAGGAAGGCUACAGAGUUCAUGUCACAUUCAAAUGAGUACAGUGGUUCUCUUGCUUCCUUAGGUAACCUGUUGGCACCUGUAAACUGAAAAGUACAAUUUCUAGUGAUUAGUUGCUUGCUUAUAGGACCUGAGCCAGAUGGACAUCCUCUAAGCUAAAUCAGACAUGAAGUAAUUAUAUUUGGCCUUUCUUGAUUGCAAUAGCAAUAGCAUGCUGCAUUCAAGCCUGCAAUUUGGUCACUAAACAGUGUGACAUGUAUCCUUCCAAGGGAAGAAAGAAACUCUUGUUCUUUGGUAGGCCAGAAUGAAAAACUGUAAAAUUAUACAAGCAACAGAAUCAGAAGAUGUACAGUCCACUGCAAAUCAUUGUAAAGCACCACUGAUGUAUCACUGGAAAAUUUGUAAUGGGUUAUAAAAGUAACUUUGUUCAUCCUGGUCCAUCACACUAGUAAUUGUAUGUAAGAUUUUUAACCACCGUCCAUUGUAAUUGAUAAAAGUUGUU
Cryptotermes secundus is the source of this 4399-nucleotide long non-coding RNA. RefSeq lists it as uncharacterized. NCBI's taxonomy places the organism in Eukaryota, Metazoa, Arthropoda, Insecta, Blattodea, Kalotermitidae. The transcript has 4 exons. The record is from RefSeq and is a predicted model, not a curated record.